Molecule: unclassified non-coding RNA, 240 nt
Filed under: soil metagenome
Description: partial contains 5.8S ribosomal RNA, internal transcribed spacer 2, and large subunit ribosomal RNA
Source: RNAcentral
AACGGUCUAUACCUGCGGUACCUGCGGAAGGAUCAUUACCGAGUUAGGGUCUUUUGGCCCGACCUCCAACCCUUUGUUUAUUAUACCAUGUUGCUUUGGUGGGCCUGCCUUUCGGGGCUGCCGGGGGCAUCACUGCCCCUGACUCGUGCCUGCCAGGAGCCUUCUUAAAUUCAGUGUUCAACGGUGCUGUCUGAGUCCCAGUAUCAAAAUAUCAAAAACUUUCAACAAUGGAUCUCUAGA